UACGUAGGGGGCAAGCGUUGUCCGGAUUUAUUGGGCGUAAAGAGCGUGUAGGCGGCCAGGUAGGUCUGCUGUGAAAACUCGAGGCUUAACCUCGAGAUGUCGGCGGAAACCAUCUGGCUAGAGUCCGGAAGAGGAGAAUGGAAUUCCCGGUGUAGCGGUGAAAUGCGCAGAUAUCGGGAAGAACACCCGUGGCGAAAGCGGCUCUCUGGGACGGUACUGACGCUGAGACGCGAAAGCGUGGGGAGCAAACAGG
This 253-nucleotide ribosomal RNA is filed under the name uncultured bacterium. Its description in RNAcentral is "partial 16S ribosomal RNA". It matches the Rfam family "Bacterial small subunit ribosomal RNA", at positions 524 to 776 of the family's 1533-position model. The record is from RNAcentral.